This 65-nucleotide transfer RNA is filed under the name Dipodomys ordii (Ord's kangaroo rat). It matches the Rfam family "tRNA". Rfam says of the family: Transfer RNA (tRNA) molecules are approximately 80 nucleotides in length. The record is from Rfam by way of RNAcentral. Lineage: Eukaryota; Metazoa; Chordata; Mammalia; Rodentia; Heteromyidae.
GGUGGCUCAGUGGUAGAGCACUUGCCUUGCAAGCAUGAGGCCCUGGGUUUGAUUCCCCAGCACCA